AUGAUGCCUGGAGGCUCAUUGGAGGCUUACCAGUACAUUGAAGACAUUCUUCUCAAGGUGUCUGCUCAAGUCCCUGACAGCGGCCCGUGUGUGACAUACAUUGGGAAGGGUGGAUCUGGAAACUUUGUCAAGAUGGUUCACAAUGGUAUCGAGUACGGUGACAUGCAACUGAUCGCUGAGGCAUAUGAUGUUCUCAAGUCGGUUGGUAAGCUCACAAACGGUGAGCUGCAGCAGGUUUUCGCCGAGUGGAACAAGGGUGAGCUCCUCAGUUUCUUGGUUGAGAUCACUGCUGAUAUAUUCGGCAUCAAGGAUGACCAGGGUGAAGGCUACUUGGUCGACAAGGUCCUGGACAAGACUGGGAUGAAGGGAACCGGCAAGUGGACAGUGCAGCAGGCUGCCGAGCUCUCAGUGGCUGCUCCUACCAUUGAGGCGUCCUUGGAUUCCAGGUUCCUCAGCGGGUUGAAGGACGAGAGGGUGGCUGCUUCCAAGAUCUUCCAGGAUGACUACAGCAGCGGCGAAACUGUUGACAAGGCACAGCUCAUCGAGGAUGUGAGGAAAGCUCUGUAUGCCUCCAAGAUCUGCAGCUACGCCCAGGGCAUGAACAUCAUCAAGGCCAAGAGCACGGAGAAGGGAUGGGGCCUCAACCUGGGCGAGCUGGCCAGGAUCUGA
This 669-nucleotide ribosomal RNA is filed under the name Triticum aestivum (bread wheat). Its description in RNAcentral is "partial small subunit ribosomal RNA". Lineage: Eukaryota; Viridiplantae; Streptophyta; Magnoliopsida; Poales; Poaceae. The record is from RNAcentral.